RNAcentral lists this ribosomal RNA (253 nucleotides) under uncultured bacterium. RNAcentral's name for it is "partial 16S ribosomal RNA". It matches the Rfam family "Bacterial small subunit ribosomal RNA", at positions 524 to 776 of the family's 1533-position model. The record is from RNAcentral.
UACGUAGGGGGCAAGCGUUGUCCGGAAUUAUUGGGCGUAAAGAGCGUGUAGGCGGUCCGGUAAGUCAGCUGUGAAAGUCAAGGGCUCAACCCUUGAAAGCCGGUUGAUACUGUCGGGCUAGAGUCCGGAAGAGGCGAGUGGAAUUCCCGGUGUAGCGGUGAAAUGCGCAGAUAUCGGGAGGAACACCAAUGGCGAAGGCAGCUUGCUGGGACGGUACUGACGCUGAGACGCGAAAGCGUGGGGAGCGAACAGG